UAAAAACAGAAAGGUACUUGAUCACAAAUAGAACAUGAAAUCCUCUACAAGGUGACCGAGUUUAAGUCCUACUUCACUUAAUUACUGGAAAUUGACCUGGAGCUGCCUGCCAGUGCUGAGUUCCGUGGGGAAGAAAAGAGAGCAAAAGAGAAA
This 153-nucleotide long non-coding RNA is filed under the name Mustela putorius furo (domestic ferret). Its description in RNAcentral is "lncRNA (ENSMPUG00000024082.1)". Lineage: Eukaryota; Metazoa; Chordata; Mammalia; Carnivora; Mustelidae. The record is from RNAcentral.